AGGAAUAUUGGUCAAUGGGCGCGAGCCUGAACCAGCCAAGUAGCGUGAAGGAUGAAGGUCCUACGGAUUGUAAACUUCUUUUAUAAGGGAAUAAAGUCACCCACGUGUGGGUGUUUGUAUGUACCUUAUGAAUAAGCAUCGGCUAACUCCGUGCCAGCAGCCGCGGUAAUACGGAGGAUGCGAGCGUUAUCCGGAUUUAUUGGGUUUAAAGGGAGCGUAGACGGGCCGUUAAGUCAGCUGUGAAAGUUUGAGGCUCAACCUUAAAAUUGCAGUUGAUACUGGCGUCCUUGAGUACGGUUGAGGCAGGCGGAAUUCGUGGUGUAGCGGUGAAAUGCUUAGAUAUCACGAAGAACCCCGAUUGCGAAGGCAGCCUGCUAAACCGCCACUGACGUUGAGGCUCGAAAGUGUGGGUAUCAAACAGGAUUAGAUACCCUGGUAGUCCACACGGUAAACGAUGGAUACUCGCUGUUGGCGAUAGACUGUCAGCGGCUUAGCGAAAGCGUUAAGUAUCCCACCUGGGGAGUACGCCGGCAACGGUGAAACUCAAAGGAAUUGACGGGGGCCCGCACAAGCGGAGGAACAUGUGGUUUAAUUCGAUGAUACGCGAGGAACCUUACCCGGGCUUGAAUUGCAGACGAAUUGCUUGGAAACAGGCAAGCCGCAAGGCGUCUGUGAAGGUGCUGCAUGGUUGUCGUCAGCUCGUGCCGUGAGGUGUCGGCUUAAGUGCCAUAACGAGCGCAACCCUCGUGUCCAGUUACCAUCAGGUUAUGCUGGGGACUCUGUCGAGACUGCCGUCGUAAGAUGUGAGGAAGGUGGGGAUGGCGUCAAAUCAGCACGGCCCUUACGUCCGGGGCUACACACGUGUUACAAUGGGGGGUACAGAAGGCAGCUACACGGCGACGUGAUGCUAAUCCCGAAAGCCUCUCUCAGUUCGGAUUGGAGUCUGCAACCCGACUCCAUGAAGCUGGAUUCGCUAGUAAUCGCGCAUCAGCCACGGCGCGGUGAAUACGUUCCCG
Molecule: ribosomal RNA, 1016 nt
Filed under: uncultured bacterium
Lineage: Bacteria
Description: bacterial SSU rRNA
Rfam family: Bacterial small subunit ribosomal RNA
Source: RNAcentral